This is a long non-coding RNA of Hemicordylus capensis (graceful crag lizard), 1086 nucleotides long. RefSeq lists it as uncharacterized. The record is from RefSeq and is a predicted model, not a curated record. Lineage: Eukaryota; Metazoa; Chordata; Lepidosauria; Squamata; Cordylidae. The transcript is spliced from 3 exons.
AGCCACCACCCUCUCGAUUACCUUGCCCAGCCAGGGGAGAUUGGAGAGUGGCCUAUAACUAUCCAUCGCUGAGGGGUCCAGGGUAGGCUUCUUAAGAAGAGGUCUAACUAUUGCCUCCUUCAAACAAGGAGGCACCCUACCCUCCCCCAGAGAUGCAUUUAUGAUAUUAACUAGGCCAUCUCCAACAAUCUCUCUGCUAGAUUGAAGUUCAUAGAAUGAACUGCGCAGGCGCGCCUCGCAGUUGGGAAGCGACGCUGGGCCAGACGGCAGGCCUCGGCGUCACUCUGCGCACUCGACGAUCCGCCGCCGCUGCCGCGCUCACUCCCGCCGCCGCCCGCCACCGCUGCGCGAUCCGCCGCCGCCCGCCGCUGCGGCGCUCACUCGGUCACUCCCACGCUGCCAUUGUGCGCCACAAGCCAUGGGGCACACGAUCCGCUGCCUCCCACCACCGCUGCACGAUCUGCCACCGCCCGCCUCCGCCGCGGAUUCCGGCCAGGGCACAGGAAAGAUGAUGUGGGGCACUGGCACAUCCUAUCCUUCUUGUUUGCCAUUCAGAAGAUCAAUCAAGACCCAAGGAUAUUACCCAACAUCACCUUGGGCUACAACAUCUAUGAUGCAUUUUUUGAUGGAAGAAUUACUUCUGAUGCCAUGAUAGAUCUUCUAGCUGGUGGGAAAAACCAUAUUCCCAGCUGUGGAAGAUGGAAUUGCCCAUUGACUGUUCUUGAAGGAUCUGAAACUGACAACUCCAUCCAAAUUUCAGCCAUCUCAAGCAUCUACAAAAUCCCACAGUCAACAGAGAGGCACAGCCAGGAGGGAACACGCAUAGCAUGUGGAGGACGCACGCAAGACAACAACACUCCGCAAGUGGAGCAGCAAGGCUUGGCAUGUUGUUGUUGCCCCCUCCUAGCCCACACAGCUUUGAAGAGUAAUGCAUGGAUGAUGAUGGCAGAUAAGAAGAGAAUGGCAGCACGCACGUGUCUCUGGACAUUUCUUUUCCGCAACCUGUCUGACUCUGUGGCAUGUGAUCGCCGCAUCUAUGUAUGGGCAAGCAAUCUUCAAAUAAAAUGCUGUCAAUCAACUCUCAAA